UGGGGAAUAUUGCGCAAUGGGCGAAAGCCUGACCCAGCAACGCCGCGUGAAGGAUGAAGUAUUUCGGUAUGUAAACUUCGAAAGAAUAGGAAGAAUAAAUGACGGUACUAUUUAUAAGGUCCGGCUAACUACGUGCCAGCAGCCGCGGUAAUACGUAGGGACCAAGCGUUGUUCGGAUUUACUGGGCGUAAAGGGCGCGUAGGCGGCAAUUCAAGUCAUCUGUGAAAUCUCCGGGCUUAACUCGGAACGGUCAGAUGAUACUGCUUUGCUAGAGUGCAGAAGGGGCAAUCGGAAUUCUUGGUGUAGCGGUGAAAUGCGUAGAUAUCAAGAGGAACACCUGAGGUGAAGACGGGUUGCUGGGCUGACACUGACGCUGAGGCGCGAAAGCCAGGGGAGCAAACGGGAUUAGAUACCCGAUGUAGUCCCUGAGCGGGCUGGCAAGGCGCAU
Molecule: ribosomal RNA, 448 nt
Filed under: uncultured bacterium
Lineage: Bacteria
Description: bacterial SSU rRNA
Rfam family: Bacterial small subunit ribosomal RNA
Source: RNAcentral